RNAcentral lists this ribosomal RNA (254 nucleotides) under uncultured bacterium. Its description in RNAcentral is "partial 16S ribosomal RNA". It matches the Rfam family "Bacterial small subunit ribosomal RNA", at positions 524 to 776 of the family's 1533-position model. The record is from RNAcentral.
CACGUAGGGUGCGAGCGUUGUCCGGAAUUAUUGGGCGUAAAGGGCUCGUAGGCGGUGUGUCGCGUCGGCCGUGAAAACCUGCAGCUUAACUGUGGGCUUGCGGUCGAUACGGGCAUCACUGGAGUUCGGCAGGGGAGACUGGAAUUCCUGGUGUGGCGGUGAAAUGCGCAGAUAUCAGGAGGAACACCGGUGGCGAAGGCGGGUCUCUGGGCCGAUACUGACGCUGAGGAGCGAAAGCGUGGGGAGCGAACAGG